RNAcentral lists this ribosomal RNA (940 nucleotides) under uncultured bacterium. RNAcentral's name for it is "bacterial SSU rRNA". It matches the Rfam family "Bacterial small subunit ribosomal RNA", at positions 552 to 1493 of the family's 1533-position model. The record is from RNAcentral.
UACUGGGCGUAAAGGGUCUGUAGGUGGUUUGUUAAGUCAGAUGUGAAAGCCCAGGGCUCAACCUUGGAACUGCAUUUGAUACUGGCAAACUAGAGUAUGGUAGAGGAAUGGGGAAUUUCUGGUGUAGCGGUGAAAUGCGUAGAGAUCAGAAGGAACACCAAUGGCGAAGGCAACAUUCUGGACCAAUACUGACACUGAGGGACGAAAGCGUGGGGAUCAAACAGGAUUAGAUACCCUGGUAGUCCACGCUGUAAACGAUGAGUACUAGCUGUUGGAUUCGGUGUAAAGGAUCUAGUGGCGUAGCUAACGCGUUAAGUACUCCGCCUGGGGACUACGGCCGCAAGGCUAAAACUCAAAGGAAUUGACGGGGACCCGCACAAGCGGUGGAGCAUGUGGUUUAAUUCGAUGCAACGCGAAGAACCUUACCUGGUCUUGACAUCCUGCGAACUUUCUAGAGAUAGAUUGGUGCCUUCGGGAACGCAGUGACAGGUGCUGCACGGCUGUCGUCAGCUCGUGUUGUGAAAUGUUGGGUUAAGUCCCGCAACGAGCGCAACCCCUAUUGAUAGUUACCAUCAUUAAGUUGGGUACUCUAUUGAGACUGCCGCUGACAAGGCGGAGGAAGGUGGGGACGACGUCAAGUCAUCAUGGCCCUUACGACCAGGGCUACACACGUGCUACAAUGGGUAUUACAGAGGGCAGCGAAGUAGCGAUAUGGAGCGAAACUCAGAAAGGUACUCUUAGUCCGGAUUGCAGUCUGCAACUCGACUGCAUGAAGUCGGAAUCGCUAGUAAUCGCAGGUCAGAAUACUGCGGUGAAUACGUUCCCGGGUCUUGUACACACCGCCCGUCACACCAUGGGAGUGGGUUGCUCCGAGAAGUAGAUAGCUUAACGAAUGGGCGUUUACCACGGAGUGAUUCAUGACUGGGGUGAAGUCGUAACA